UGGGGAAUCUUAGACAAUGGGGGCAACCCUGAUCUAGCCAUGCCGCGUGAGUGAUGAAGGCCUUAGGGUGUAAAGCUCUUCAGCUGGAAGAUAAUGACGUACCGUGCCAGCAGCC
Molecule: ribosomal RNA, 115 nt
Filed under: uncultured bacterium
Lineage: Bacteria
Description: partial 16S ribosomal RNA
Rfam family: Bacterial small subunit ribosomal RNA
Source: RNAcentral